This 450-nucleotide ribosomal RNA is filed under the name uncultured bacterium. Its description in RNAcentral is "partial 16S ribosomal RNA". It matches the Rfam family "Bacterial small subunit ribosomal RNA", at positions 338 to 795 of the family's 1533-position model. The record is from RNAcentral.
CCUACGGGUGGCAGCAGUGGGGAAUAUUGGACAAUGGGCGCAAGCCUGAUCCAGCAAUGCCGCGUGUGUGAAGAAGGCCUGCGGGUUGUAAAGCACUUUAAGCAGGAAAGAAGGGGUGAAAGUUAAUACCUUUCAUCAUUGACGUUACCUGCAGAAUAAGCACCGGCUAACUCCGUGCCAGCAGCCGCGGUAAUACGGAGGGUGCGAGCGUGAAUCGGAAUUAGCGUGCGUAGUGUGAGCGUAGGCUCGUGAAAGCCCGGGGCUUAACCUGGGAACUGCGGUGGAUACUGUCGGGCUAGAGUGUGGUAGAGGGGAGUGGAAUUUCCGGUGUAGCAGUGAAAUGCGUAGAGAUCGGAAGGAACACCAGUGGCGAAGGCGGCUCCCUGGACUAACACUGACGCUGAGGUGCGAAAGCGUGGGGAGCAAACAGGAUUAGAUACCCCAGUAGUC